Molecule: long non-coding RNA, 651 nt
Filed under: Homo sapiens (human)
Lineage: Eukaryota; Metazoa; Chordata; Mammalia; Primates; Hominidae
Description: HSALNT0179247
Source: RNAcentral
GAACCUCUUCCUACCUUGCAUCCAAACAUCAACGAUAAAGUGUUGUUGGUGCAAGCAACUUUGCAGUGGCAAAUCAUUGGUGUAAAACAGUCAGGGUCCUUAACAACAGGGGACAUUCCUUCCGGGCUGCGGCAGUGGCAGCUCGCUGGGGGACCCAAACGCUGUGCUCGCCGGGCACAUGGAGCGACAGCCUAGACCGAGCUGCCGCUUCGAUCACUGCCCCCUGCACCCGCCGUGGCCAUCCCGGAGCCCCGGUGGAAGCAACGCCGCGGGCAAGUACCGAGCCUCUCGGGGUCUCCCUUCCCUGGGGAACGAGGCGUGUGGGGGGAGGGACAGAACCAAGAAAGAAUUUUUCCCCCUACGGUGAAUUUGGGGGAGGUAAAAUAAAAAUAAAAUAAAAUAAAAAUAAACCAUAAAAAUAAAAGGAAGCCAGGCACUUAGAGGAGGGUUCAAAGGAGGUGGGGCAGUAUUAGCAUGUAAAAGGAUGUGCCCGCCUACUCUCCCCAGUCACACAAGAUUGUCAUGCGAGCUGAAGGGGGCUGAAAUUAUUCCCUCUGAAGAAGAAGAAGAAGAAGAAAACAUACUGCAGCUCCCGAUUUGGGCCUGCCUCUUUCUAUUCCUUGACAUAAACCGGACUCUUCAUGCUAAUCA